This 917-nucleotide ribosomal RNA is filed under the name uncultured Bacillota bacterium. RNAcentral describes it as "bacterial SSU rRNA". It matches the Rfam family "Bacterial small subunit ribosomal RNA", at positions 1 to 917 of the family's 1533-position model. Lineage: Bacteria; Bacillati; Bacillota. The record is from RNAcentral.
UGGAUCCAGACUUUGAUCAUGGCUCAGGAUGAACGCUGGCGGCGUGCUUAACACAUGCAAGUCGAACGAGAAUCUAGUGAAGGAGUUUUCGGACAACGGAUCUAGAGGAAAGUGGCGGACGGGUGAGUAACGCGCGAGCAAUCUGCCUUGGAGUGGGGAAUAACACAACGAAAGCUGUGCUAAUACCGCAUGAUGCAGUUGGGAGGCAUCUCUCGGCUGCCAAAGAUUUAUCGCUCUGAGAUGAGCUCGCGUCUGAUUAGCUAGUUGGUGGGCAACGGCCCACCAAGGCGACGAUCAGUAGCCGGACUGAGAGGUUGGCCGGCCACAUUGGGACUGAGAUACGGCCCAGACUCCUACGGGAGGCAGCAGUGGGGAAUAUUGGGCAAUGGACGCAAGCCUGACCCAGCAACGCCGCGUGAAGGAAGAAGGCUUUCGGGUUGUAAACUUCUUUUAAGAGGGACGAAUAAAGUGACGGUACCUCUUGAAUAAGCCACGGCUAACUACGUGCCAGCAGCCGCGGUAAUACGUAGGUGGCAAGCGUUAUCCGGAUUUAUUAGGUGUAAAGGGCGUGUAGGCGGGAAUGCAAGUCAGAUGUGAAAACUAUGGGCUCAACCCAUAGCCUGCAUUUGAAACUGUAUUUCUUGAGUGCUGGAGAGGCAAUCGGAAUUCCGUGUGUAGCGGUGAAAUGCGUAGAUAUACGGAGGAACACCAGUGGCGAAGGCGGAUUGCUGGACAGUAACUGACGCUGAGGCGCGAAAGCGUGGGGAGCAAACAGGAUUAGAUACCCUGGUAGUCCACGCCGUAAACGAUGGAUACUAGGUGUGGGGGGACUGACCCCCUCCGUGCCGCAGCUAACGCAAUAAGUAUCCCACCUGGGGAGUACGAUCGCAAGGUUGCAACUCAAAGGAAUUGACGGA